GCAAACUUGGUCAUUUAGAGGAAGUAAAAGUCGUAACAAGGUUUCCGUAGGUGAACCUGCGGAAGGAUCAUUAUUGAAAUAAAAAAAAAUUGGUUGAGUGUGUUUUCUUUUGUUUCUUUUUUUUUUCAAAGAAGCAAACUAAAAAGGGGGCACGCUCUGACCUUUUUUUCUUUUUUCACAACCACCUGUGCAUAUCGCAUGAAUCUGUAGCUGUUUCAAGUCUUAUUGAUAUUGGUUUACGAGAACUGCUUCUAUUUUUGAAAGAAGAGAGGCUUUGUCUUGAGUUUUUCAGCUUCAUGUUUUCACACACAUUUUUUUGCACCUGUCAUUGGAAUGUUUUGUAACAGACUUUUUUUGGUCUAUUAUAAAAAGUACAACUUUCAACAACGGAUCUCUUGGCUCUCGCAUCGAUGAAGAACGCAGC
This 424-nucleotide unclassified non-coding RNA is filed under the name uncultured fungus. RNAcentral's name for it is "partial contains small subunit ribosomal RNA, internal transcribed spacer 1, and 5.8S ribosomal RNA". The stretch from base 1 to 73 matches the Rfam family "Eukaryotic small subunit ribosomal RNA", at positions 1759 to 1831 of the family's 1831-position model. The record is from RNAcentral. Lineage: Eukaryota; Fungi.